GCUACGGUGGCCUAGUGGUUAGAGCAUCAGCCUCGGAUGUAGGGGGUCGUGGGUUGGACCCCCGGUCGAGUAAUA
Non-coding RNA from Potamilus streckersoni, 75 nucleotides. NCBI's taxonomy places the organism in Eukaryota, Metazoa, Mollusca, Bivalvia, Unionida, Unionidae. The record is from the annotation of a GenBank genome assembly.